RNAcentral lists this ribosomal RNA (463 nucleotides) under uncultured bacterium. RNAcentral describes it as "partial 16S ribosomal RNA". It matches the Rfam family "Bacterial small subunit ribosomal RNA", at positions 28 to 507 of the family's 1533-position model. The record is from RNAcentral.
GACGAACGCUGGCGGCGUGCUUAACACAUGCAAGUCGAACGGAAAGGCCUUUUCGGCGGUACUCGAGUGGCGAACGGGUGAGUAACACGUGGGUGAUCUGCCCUGCACUCUGGGAUAAGCCUGGGAAACUGGGUCUAAUACCGGAUAGGACCGCACUUUAGUGUGUGUGGUGGAAAGUUUUUUCGGUGUAGGAUGAGCCCGCGGCCUAUCAGCUUGUUGGUGGGGUAAUGGCCUACCAAGGCGGCGACGGGUAGCCGGACUGAGAGGUUGGUCGGCCACAUUGGGACUGAGAGACGGCCCAGACUCCUACGGGAGGCAGCAGUGGGGAAUAUUGCACAAUGGGCGCAAGCCUGAUGCAGCGACGCCGCGUGGGGGAUGACGGCCUUCGGGUUGUAAACUCCUUUCGCCAGGGACGAAGCGUUUUGUGACGGUACCUGGAGAAGAAGCACCGGCUAACUACGUG